AUUUCCAAACUCCCCAUUCUUCCACUUCUCUCUCAACUCUCAAUACCUAGAGCUCCCCAACUCUCUCUCUUCUCUCUCCUUCCAUUUUCCGCUGCCACCCUCCGCCAUCGGUGCCACCGCCCGCCGGAAAUCUCCACCGGCGGUGGCCAACCUCCAAAAAGCUUCAAAAUAACGUCAAUCUUCUCCUUUUCUUCUCCUCUACCUCACCUCACCACUUAAACCCAUAAAAAACCAACCAUCAAAGAGUUAAGAAAUGGCCGAAACUCCCCCCCCCCCCCACCGGCGGCACCGCCGCCGGAAAUAGCCGGCGCCGGCGACAGAAACUCCAAAAACCCUCAAACUCAUACCAUACACUUCUCUCAUCCUCUUAAACUUUAUCCUACCAACCAAAUCCCCAAAAACCCAACCAAAAUCCGUAGAUCUUGGAUCUAAAAUGCCAAAACCCUAGAUCUACUUCUUUUUUCAUUUUUUCUAGUCAUUAUAAAAUCCUCCGGUCAAGAUCUUCCAUCAAAGAUCUUAGAUCCAAGACGGGAGUCUUAGCUUGAGGUUUUUUUUUUUCAUGAUUAGACCCUUUAAAUUUUAUAAUUUUAUUUACUCAUUUGUUAUUUAUUUCAUUCAUUUUUAUGCAUUUUUUUUAUUUUUCGUUAAUUUCCGCAUUUAUUUAAUGUUUUUUUUUCUUUCGCAUUAUAUUAUGUUUUUUUAUUUAUUUACGCAUUUAUAUAUAUAUUUUUUUUAUUUUUUUAUUUCUGCCAUUUUUAUUUCUGUUGUUUAUUUUUAUCACAGUUUGUAUUUAUUUUGUUAAUUAUCAUAUUUUGUUUAUUCCAUAAUAAGUAAUUAAUUAGUUAAAAUCGGAUCUAGUUAAAAUAUAUGUAAAGUUAGUAUAAUCAUAUUAUGAUAUUUUAUAGUUUUUUUAUUAAUUAACUAAAACAGAUUAAUCAAGAAAAGAAAAAAAAUUAGUUUAAAAAAUGGAAAAAAUAUGUGUAAAUAGAUUUAAUAAUAAAUAGAUUAAAAAAAUAUUAAAAAUGUAGUAUUUAGAUUCCGUUUUUAUUUUUAUUUUUUUUACAUCUCAUCAAUUUAGUUAAUGUUAUUCUAUUAAAUUUAUUAUGUAGUUAUUAAUGGGGUAGUACAUGUAUAUAUAUAUUAUACACUCCACAUAUACAUCUAUUACUAUCACACUAAGCACUAAUAAUAAUAAAAUAAAGUAUUAAAAUAAUAUAGUGGAGGACAAGACAUAUGUUAGUGGGGAAUAAUGUAUUUUUUUAAUCAAUAAUGGGGAACAAGACAUAGUGGGAUUACGGGACUCAAGAAAAGUUAAUUAAAUAAAAUAACAAUUGCAUUUUUUAUGUAGUAGUGGGUUUGGUAAGAGAAAGUGGAUUGUUUUAUUAUUUGUUUAAUUGAUUAAGGGCUCUGUUAUGAGGCAUAAAUAGAGCAGACUUGGACAUAAUUAAGGACGGGAUUUGAUCAUCAUAAAUUCAGAGCUUAAGUUGAAAAGAAAACUGAUUUGUCAGAACUUAAAAAAUUCAGUCUUUGAGAAUUAAAAACUGAAAGUAAAGCCUUUCUUUACUAUUGAGAAUCAGAAUAUUGUUACUGCUUCUGUGGUUUGCAUUUGGUAUUACUGAUUUUCAGAUUGGUCUUCUUGGGUUUUCUUUUGGUUCUUGAGUGCUGUUUCAUUGAAUUCUUGGGUUUCACCUUGGGUUUCUGGUAUUGUUUGUUGUUGGGUUAUUCUUGAAUCUGUUACUGGUUGUGGAAUCAUCUCUGUUGGUUUUAAGAUCUGUCCCUAGGUGUUCAAUUUGCUACUGUUGUUGCUGACUAUUCUGUUUGCUUUGCUACUGCUGAUCUUCCUCUUCUUUUACUUCCAAUACCAGGUACAUGGCUGUAACCUUGUCGAUAUCGUAAGCUGAAAUGUGAAAGCAUGAAUACAUAUGAAGAAUGGAACUUUGAAGUUUUAAUUUAGCUUCUUCUUUGUUUCUUUUACUGAUUGUAUUUAGGCUAUUUCAUGUAUUAUUAUUCUAUAAAUUUAUGUCACUUUGCAUAACUAGGCAUCUUGUAGUGAUGUACUAAAUAAUAUUCUGCUUUAGUUUGGUUAUUAGGUAGUAUACGUUUAAGCAUGCUCAUUACUGUCAAACUGUUUAAUAAUUGGAAUAAGAGAAAAUAACAUAAGUUGGUC
RNAcentral lists this long non-coding RNA (2167 nucleotides) under Nicotiana tabacum (common tobacco). Its description in RNAcentral is "long non-coding RNA (NTAB_LNC004337)". The record is from RNAcentral. Lineage: Eukaryota; Viridiplantae; Streptophyta; Magnoliopsida; Solanales; Solanaceae.